UGGUGGAGUGAUUUGUCUGGUUAAUUCCGUUAACGAACGAGACCUUAACCUGCUAAAUAGCUGCAUGAAUUAAUGUUUCAUGAAUGGCUUCUUAGAGGGACUUUGCGUGUUUAACGCAAGGAAGUUUGAGGCAAUAACA
This 139-nucleotide ribosomal RNA is filed under the name uncultured eukaryote. RNAcentral describes it as "partial 18S ribosomal RNA". It matches the Rfam family "Eukaryotic small subunit ribosomal RNA", at positions 1299 to 1458 of the family's 1831-position model. The record is from RNAcentral.